GAUGAAGGACGCAGCGAAAUGCGAUACGUAAUGUGAAUUGCAGAAUUCAGUGAAUCAUCGAGUCUUUGAACGCACAUUGCGCCCCCUGGUAUUCCGGGGGGCAUGCCUGUCCGAGCGUCAUUGCUGCCCUCAAGCACGGCUUGUGUGUUGGGCCUCCGUCCUCCUCCCGGGGGACGGGCCCGAAAGGCAGCGGCGGCACCGCGUCCGGUCCUCGAGCGUAUGGGGCUUCGUCACCCGCUCUUGUAGGCCCGGCCGGCGCUUGCCGACACAUCAAUCUUUUUUCCAGGUUGACCUCGGAUCAGGUAGGGAUACCCGCUGAACUUAAGCAUAUCAUAAGCGGAGGA
RNAcentral lists this unclassified non-coding RNA (344 nucleotides) under soil metagenome. Its description in RNAcentral is "partial contains 5.8S ribosomal RNA, internal transcribed spacer 2, and large subunit ribosomal RNA". The stretch from base 1 to 120 matches the Rfam family "5.8S ribosomal RNA", at positions 35 to 154 of the family's 154-position model. The record is from RNAcentral.